Eptesicus fuscus (big brown bat) is the source of this 107-nucleotide small nuclear RNA. NCBI's taxonomy places the organism in Eukaryota, Metazoa, Chordata, Mammalia, Chiroptera, Vespertilionidae. The record is from RefSeq and is a predicted model, not a curated record.
GUGCUUGCUUUUGUAGCACAUAUACUAAAAUUGGAACAAUACAGAGAAGAUUAGCAUGCCCUCUGCAUGAGGAUGGCACACAAAUUCGUGAAGUGUUUCAUAUUUUA